CCUUUUCUGGUCUCAGUGGGAGAGGAUGCACCCUGCAACUUGAUGUGCCAAGGCAGUUUGGUACACACUGGGGUGAAGAGGGGGUUCCCUUCUUAGAGGUUAAAGGGAGUAUGGAGGGAGGGCAGUAUGAGAGUGGGAAUGGGUGAAGAGGAGGAUGAAAAGUGAAUAAAUAAAUAAAAAAGAAAGAAACCAAAGAACUUCAUGGGGACAUUCAUGUGAUUCUUUGGCUAAGAAUAUGUUUUAUAACUCUGUUCAGAUCCUGAGAAGCUAUGUGAAGUUGAACUGAAAGACACUGAACUAAUUUGUUAAGUAGGCCUGUGAUCAACGUAAAGUGUCAGACCACAAGAGGGCAGACAACAAACCAGGUAUAAUUGUUAAAUUUGACAUUGGAAAAGAUGUCUUGAGUGCAAGACUCCACCCAUCAAAGACUCAGACUUAUAAAUAUGCAAAUUUAUGUAAAAGAGGUAGGGCUGAGCUGAGAUGGCAUCUGGGAGGCAUCCCUGUUCCUCAAAAGUAACCCUUUACUAAUCUUUCUCCAGGCUCAGUACUGAGAAGCUGAUGUAGCUAUGGUCUAAAGAAGCUAAGUUUAAUUCAUGAGCUGACAGCAGAACUUGACAGUGUAGUGCGCUCAGUACUAGGUUUGCGUCCAAAAACAAACAAACAAACAAACAAAUAAAUAAAUAAAAAGUUUAAAAUUGACAAAGUUAUGAAUAGAAGCUGAGACAAGGUAUCAGGGUUGAAGUCCAUAAAAAGAAGCCCUAAGAGGCCACUGAGUAAUUUUCUGAAGGUGAACCCUAAAUUUCAAUGGAGAGUGUAGGAUAUUAGAGAUGUCAGCAGCGUCAUCACAGGGAUGACAUAGAGCUGGUCCAAGAGAGAACCCAAGUGUAUGAUAGGCAGUAGAACUGGCAGGCAGGGUUAACCUACAUCAUUUGUAGCUAAUUUUGUCAAGAGCUUCAGAUGUUAGAAACAAAAUUGCUGGAUUUGGAUUUCCCUUGUUGGAUUUGGUCUUGGUUUGGGCAGAUAAUUUGUUGCAAUGCUCUGAUUUCCCCC
RNAcentral lists this long non-coding RNA (1050 nucleotides) under Mus musculus (house mouse). RNAcentral's name for it is "long non-coding RNA chr8:37477941-37478991". The record is from RNAcentral. Lineage: Eukaryota; Metazoa; Chordata; Mammalia; Rodentia; Muridae.